UGAUAUUUAUAUCUUACUUCAUGUCAUGACACCAAUGUAUAUUACUCUCUGAUAUGUUUAUGGGAUAUAAAUUAUGUCAUCCUGUUGGAGAUUUUUCUACACGUUGAAAAAAUUUUAAAAAGCAUUUAAUGGUCUGAAAGAACUUUCCCAAUUGGUGACAGCAUGAAAAUAAGUCAUUUUUUAAAAAAAUCUAAAGAUUAAUAGAUCUAUUAUUUGUAAUAUGUACCUCAAAAAAGUUCAGAGGUGCACGCCCAUAAUUCGAGUGGCUCAGGAGGCUAAGGCAGGAGGAUUGCAAGUUCAAAGACAGGCUCAGCAACUUAGUGAGGCCUUAUGCAACUUAGUCAGACCCUGCCUUAAAACAAACAACCAAACAACCAAACAAACAGUAAGGGCUGGGCAUGUGGCUCAAUGGUUAAGUGCUCUGGGUUCAAUUCCUGAUACCAAAAAAAAAAAAAAAAAGUUCAAGUUGUUGUUCUCUUGAUACUAUUUCUUUUAUCAUCUGUUCUAUAUGUGAAAGCAUGUGUACAAAAUGAAUUUGAUACUGCUCAAAUAUGUCUUUCCUGUUUGUGUUGCAAACUAUCUAAGGAGGAAUCUUCAAUAUAGAAAGGAUCAAUGGUUGACCAGUUGAGUGGAUGAGCUUACAAGAAAAAGGUUCAAGGAUGUCAAGAAUGAACCUCUGUGCUCUAGCCUAUUAAGGAGAAUGAAAAAUCCCUGGAGAAGAUGAGAAAAGAAAAUAAUUCAGGAAGCAUGCUAAAAAUAAAAAUAUACUCUAAAGAGAGGCUGGCAGUCUGAGAUCAAGGCAUCAGCAGGGUUGGUUCAUUCCAUCUGAGGCUGUGAGGAAGGAUCUCAUCCAGGCCUCUCUUUGCUGGCCAUCUUUGACAUUUAUUGGUUUGAUGAUGUGUUGCCCGAUCUCCGCCUUCAUCUUUACAUGGACCUCUCCCUGUAAUCUUCCCUAUGCUUCCAGACUGGGUGAAGUGUCCCACCUCUGCUCACUGCAACCUAUGCAUAAAACUAACUCAGUAAAGGCAUCGAAAGGAUCUCCAUGCUCAACUUCCAGUAGAUCAUAAGCUCCUUGAGGACAUGGACAUGAUUUUCCAUUCAGGGACCCACACAGUACUGAAGGUAAAGCCUCACCUGUGACACGUUGGGUUUAAUAUAUGUUGAAUUUUAAUAUUCAUAAUCAUAGGGAAAUAAUCUAUCUGUGUUGAUGAAGCCCUUUAACACACCAGUCAAUGAUUUAAUUGUUGAGAUUUGACAGCUGAAACCAAAAAUGUGUGAGUCUGUGGUGUACCUUUGGGAUACUCUAUGAAUACGAUGGUAUACGUAGAAUCUACUGAACAUCUGGCCUGAUUGUAGACACUCAGUAAACAUUCAUUGAAAGUCAAUGCAAUUCAGUCAUGUAUUCAUUUAUUAGUUCAAAAAUAAUUUACUCAAAAAUUGCAAUGUCCCAGUACUGGUGCUGAAGAAACCAAGAGAUAUGAGUUGUUGGUUAUAUAAAUGAGGCAUAGUCAUAUGAUGAGUAUCAUAAACAUCUCCGGAUGAAUGUGCUGUAAGUCAUUAUGGUCUAGAUAUAAGGUGUCCCCGAAAGGCUCAUGUGUGAGACCAUAUAAGAAGUUUUAGAGAUACAAUAAUGUUAGAUCAUGAGAGGUGUAACUGUUUCAGUGGAUUAAUCCACUGAUAUGGAUUAACUAGGUGGUAACUGUUGGAAGGUAGGAUGUGGCUGGAGGAGGUAGGUCACUAAGGGUGU
Marmota monax (woodchuck) is the source of this 1747-nucleotide long non-coding RNA. RefSeq lists it as uncharacterized. The record is from RefSeq and is a predicted model, not a curated record. Lineage: Eukaryota; Metazoa; Chordata; Mammalia; Rodentia; Sciuridae. The transcript has 4 exons.